This 622-nucleotide ribosomal RNA is filed under the name Mrakia robertii. RNAcentral's name for it is "eukaryotic LSU rRNA". It matches the Rfam family "Eukaryotic large subunit ribosomal RNA", at positions 51 to 656 of the family's 3401-position model. Lineage: Eukaryota; Fungi; Basidiomycota; Tremellomycetes; Cystofilobasidiales; Mrakiaceae. The record is from RNAcentral.
CGGAGGAAAAGAAACUAACAAGGAUUCCCCUAGUAACGGCGAGUGAAGCGGGAUGAGCUCAAAUUUAAAAUCUGGCGGCCUCAGGUCGUCCGAGUUGUAGUCUAGAGAAUCGUUUUCCGCGUUGGCCUGUGUACAAGUCCCUUGGAACAGGGCGUCAUAGAGGGUGAGAAUCCCGUCCUUGACACAGACUACCAAUGCUUUGUGAUGCGAUCUCGAAGAGUCGAGUUGUUUGGGAAUGCAGCUCAAAAUGGGUGGUAAAUUCCAUCUAAAGCUAAAUAUUGGCGAGAGACCGAUAGCGAACAAGUACCGUGAGGGAAAGAUGAAAAGCACUUUGGAAAGAGAGUUAAACAGUACGUGAAAUUGUUAAAAGGGAAACGAUUGAAGUCAGUCAUGCUUUCCGAGACUCAGCCGAUUCUGUCGGUGUACUUCUCGGUUGGCAGGCCAGCAUCAGUUUCGAUCUGUGGAAAAGGUUGGAGGGAACGUGGCAUCCUCGGAUGUGUUAUAGCCCUUCUUCGAAUACAUAGAGCGGGACUGAGGAACGCAGCGCGCCUUUUAUUAGGUUGGCCCUCGGGUACAUACGCGCUUAGGAUGCUGGCAUAAUGGCUUUAAACGACCCGUCUUG